CUAAGAGCAUACGGGGGAUGCCUUGGCACGAGUAGGCGAUGAAGGACGUGGUAAGCUGCGAUAAGCCUCGGGUAGGUGCAAACAACCUUAGACCCGGGGAUUUCCGAAUGGGGCAACCCUUCCCGAGUAAUGUCGGGAAACUUCCCGCUGAAUCAAAUAGGCGGGAUAGAGCGAACGGAGGGAAGUGAACCAUCUCAGUACCUCCAGGAAAAGAAAGCAAUUGCGAUUCUCUGAGUAGUGGCGAACGAAAAGGGAACAGCCUAAACCCGUCUUAUGUUAAAACCUGUGCGUGUUGUAAGACGGGGGUUGCGGGGUCCAACCGGGAUCUUGUACAGAAGAUCCGGAAAGUCAAAAAACCACUUUUUAGUCGAAUGGUUCUGGAAAGGCCAACCAGAGAGGGUGAUAGUCCUGUAGACGAAAAAGAGUGGUCUUUCUGGGUUGGAUUCCCAAGUACCGCGGGACACGUGAAAUCCUGUGGGAAUCUGGGUGGACCACCACCCAAGGUUAAAUACUCACUCGUGACCGAUAGUGAACCAGUACCGUGAGGGAAAGGUGAAAAGUACUCCUGUGAGGAGAGUGAAAUAGUACCUGAAACCGUAUGCUUACAAUCAGUCGGAGUCCGCCCCAGGCGGAUAACGGCGUGCCUUUUGCAUAAUGAGCUAGCGAGUUACUUGUAUGUUGCAAGGCUAAUCCGUUCAGCGGAGUAACCGUAGCGAAAGCGAGUCUGAAUAGGGCGUUCAGUAACAUGCAGUAGACCCGAAACCGGGUGAGCUACCCAUGGCCAGGAUGAAGUCGCGGUAACACGCGAUGGAGGUCCGAACCGGUGUAGGUUGAAAACUGCUCGGAUGAGCUGUGGGUAGGAGUGAAAGGCCAAUCAAACUCGGUGAUAGCUGGUUCUCCCCGAAAUAGCUUUAGGGCUAGCCUCAUACGAAUGUCGCGGAGGUAGAGCACUGAAUGGACUAGGGGCCUCACAAGGUUACCAAACCCAAUCAAACUCCGAAUGCCGUUGACAUGUUGUAUGGGAGUCAGGGCGCGAGGGAUAAGCUUCGCGUCCGAGAGGGAAACAACCCAGACCACCAGUUAAGGCCCCCAAAUGUGGGUUAAGUGAUAAAGGAUGUAGGAUCGCACAGACAACCAGGAUGUUGGCUUAGAAGCAGCCAUUCAUUUAAAGAGUGCGUAAUAGCUCACUGGUCAAGUAGUUCUGCGCCGAAAAUGAUCGGGACUUAAGCCUGCUGCCGAAACUGUGGUUUCCGCCUUAGGCGGAGAGGUAGGGGAGCGUUCCAUACGCCUGCGAAGGUGUUCCGCGAGGAAUGCUGGAGGUAUUGGAAAUGAGUAUGCUAGCAUAAGUAGCGAUAAUUCCGGUGAGAAACCGGAACACCGUAAAUCCAAGGUUUCCUGAGUAAAGCUAAUCUGCUCAGGGUUAGUCGGACCCUAAGCUGAGGCCGAAAGGCGUAAGCGAUGGAAAACGGGUUAAAUAUUCCCGUACCACCUAUGUUCCGUUUGACCUAUGGGGGGACGCAGGGGUGAAAGGUCAGCCAGGUACUGGAUAUCCUGGUCUAAGCGUGUAGGCAGGAGAGGCAGGCAAAUCCACUUCUCCGCUAAUGCCGAGACGUGAAUGGGAGGGCUAUGCCCGCAAACUGACCCUAAUCGGACUGCCAAGAAAAGCCUCUAUGGAAGGGGCAUGGGUGACCGUACCGUAAACCGACACAGGUAGAUGAGGAGAGUAUCCUAAGGUGCUCGAGAUAGCCGCAGUUAAGGAACUCGGCAAAAUGACCCCGUAACUUCGGAAGAAGGGGUGCCCCCGGUAUGUGAAUCCCCUCGCGGGAGGAGCUGAAAGGGGCCACAGAAAAUCGGCUCCAGCGACUGUUUAACAAAAACACAGGUCUCUGCCAAGUCGCAAGACGAUGUAUAGGGACUGACACCUGCCCGGUGCCGGAAGGUUAAGGGAAGGGGUCAUCCGCCUUCGGGUGGAGAAGCUCUGAACCGAAGCCCCGGUAAACGGCGGCCGUAACUAUAACGGUCCUAAGGUAGCGAAAUUCCUUGUCGGGUAAGUUCCGACCUGCACGAAUGGUGUAACGACUGGAGCACUGUCUCAACUGCGGCCUCGGCGAAAUUGUAGUGGCGGUGAAGAUGCCGCCUACCCGCGGAUGGACGGAAAGACCCCGUGAACCUUUACUAUAGCUUAGCACUGGCUUUUGGCAAAGCAUGUGUAGGAUAGGUGGGAGGCUAUGAGUCCCGGACGCCAGUUCGGGAGGAGCCAUCCUUGAAAUACCACCCUUGUUCUGUCGGAAUCCUAACCGCAGUCCUUGAAUCAGGGCUCGGAACAAUGCUAGGUGGGUAGUUUGACUGGGGCGGUCACCUCCCAAAGAGUAACGGAGGUGCCCAAAGGUUCCCUCAGCACGAUUGGUAACCGUGCGUCGAGUGUAAAGGCAUAAGGGAGCUUAACUGCGAGACCUACAAGUCGAGCAGGUGCGAAAGCAGGGCUUAGUGAUCCGGCGGUUCCGAGUGGAAGGGCCGUCGCUCAACGGAUAAAAGGUACUCCGGGGAUAACAGGCUUAUCGGGUCCAAGAGUCCACAUCGACGACCCGGUUUGGCACCUCGAUGUCGGCUCAUCGCAUCCUGGGGCUGGAGCAGGUCCCAAGGGUUUGGCUGUUCGCCAAUUAAAGCGGUACGUGAGCUGGGUUCAGAACGUCGUAAGACAGUUCGGUCCCUAUCCUCCGUGGGCGCAGGAGAUUUGAAGGGAGCUACUCCUAGUACGAGAGGACCGGAGUGGACGAACCUCUAGUGCACCAGUUGUUCUGCCAGGAGCAUGGCUGGGUAGCUACGUUCGGUCGGGAUAACCGCUGAAAGCAUCUAAGUGGGAAGCCCACCCUAAGAUAAGAUCUCCCUUCCGCCGCAAGGCGGUCUAAAGGCUCCUGGGAGAUGACCAGGUAAUAGGCCGGAGGUGUAAGUAUGGCAACAUAUUCAGCCGACCGGUACUAAUCAGCCGUGAGGCUUGACA
Molecule: ribosomal RNA, 3001 nt
Filed under: sediment metagenome
Description: bacterial LSU rRNA
Rfam family: Bacterial large subunit ribosomal RNA
Source: RNAcentral